Molecule: long non-coding RNA, 364 nt
Organism: Ochotona princeps (American pika)
Lineage: Eukaryota; Metazoa; Chordata; Mammalia; Lagomorpha; Ochotonidae
Exons: 4
Source: RefSeq, a predicted model, not a curated record
CGGGGAGGGAGCGCGCACCAAGGCGUCUUCUGCGGCUGCGCGCACUCGAGGCGUGCACGCCCGUCGGCUGGCCGGCUCCCUCAGGGCGUCUGUGCAGCCUACUCUUUCCGGUGGUUUGUGCUGCAGACAGGUCUCUGGGUUAGGCUCUUCAGCUGGAGUGCAUCCCACCGCUUCCUUCUUGGCCUUGGCUGUUAGGACAUCUGGCCAACUGUGUCUGUGACGUCUGACCCACAGAUCCAGCCAACCACGGAUGGAUCUGAUUAGGAGAAAGGAAUUCCACCUGAGAGCGCACGUCUGCUUCUGCCUCCGGACAGCUCAGGCAAGGGGCACCUCUGGUGCCGCUUAGCUGGCAGCGAGCAGGGGC